GAUGAAGAACGCAGCGAAAUGCGAUAAGUAAUGCGAAUUGCAGAAUUCCAGUGAGUCAUCGAAUCUUUGAACGCACAUUGCGCCCUUUGGUAUUCCGAAGGGCAUGCCUGUUCGAGCGUCAUUAUCACCCCUCAAGCCCUCGGCUUGGUGUUGGACGGUUUGGUGGAGGCCCCCUCGGGGGCUCCUGCCCCUCCCAAAGACAAUGACGGCGGCCUCGUUGGACCCCCGGUACACUGAGUUCUUCACGGGACACGUAUCGGACACAUGGGUUUACGGGACACGGUCUGCCUCCCCUCAGGGAGAAUCUUUCUAAGGUUGACCUCGGAUCAGGUAGGGAUACCCGCUGAACUUAAGCAUAUCAAUAAGCGGAAGA
This 373-nucleotide unclassified non-coding RNA is filed under the name soil metagenome. Its description in RNAcentral is "partial contains 5.8S ribosomal RNA, internal transcribed spacer 2, and large subunit ribosomal RNA". The stretch from base 1 to 121 matches the Rfam family "5.8S ribosomal RNA", at positions 35 to 154 of the family's 154-position model. The record is from RNAcentral.